GAGUUUGAUCCUGGCUCAGGAUGAACGCUGGCGGCGUGCCUAACACAUGCAAGUCGAACGGUCGACUUCGGUCGAUAGUGGCGCACGGGUGAGUAACACGUGGUUGACCUACCCCAAAGUAGGGGAUAACGUUCCGAAAGGAAUGCUAAUACCCUAUAAGCUCCCGGAUUUUAGAACCCUGGGAGAAAAGUUCCGGCGCUUUGGGAGGGGACUGCGGGCCAUCAGCUAGUUGGUGUGGUAAUGGCGCACCAAGGCAACGACGGCUAGGGGACCUGAGAGGGUGGCCCCCCACACUGGAACUGAGACACGGUCCAGACUCCUACGGGAGGCAGCAGUGAGGAAUAUUGCACAAUGGGCGCAAGCCUGAUGCAGCGACGCCGCGUGGGUGAUGAAGGCUUUCGGGUCGUAAAGCCCUUUUCUAGGUGACGAGAAUGGACGGUAGCCUAGGAAUAAGUGUCGGCUAACUACGUG
This 471-nucleotide ribosomal RNA is filed under the name uncultured bacterium. RNAcentral's name for it is "bacterial SSU rRNA". It matches the Rfam family "Bacterial small subunit ribosomal RNA", at positions 9 to 507 of the family's 1533-position model. The record is from RNAcentral.